Molecule: ribosomal RNA, 497 nt
Filed under: uncultured bacterium
Lineage: Bacteria
Description: partial 16S ribosomal RNA
Rfam family: Bacterial small subunit ribosomal RNA
Source: RNAcentral
GACGAACGCUGGCGGCGUGCCUAAUACAUGCCAGUUGAGCGCUGAAGGUUGGUACUUGUACCAACUGGAUGAGCAGCGAACGGGUGAGUAACGCGUGGGGAAUCUGCCUUUGAGCGGGGGACAACAUUUGGAAACGAAUGCUAAUACCGCAUAAAAACUUUAAACACAAGUUUUAAGUUUGAAAGAUGCAAUUGCAUCACUCAAAGAUGAUCCCGCGUUGUAUUGGCUAGUUGGUGAGGUAAAGGCUCACCAAGGCGAUGAUACAUAGCCGACCUGAGAGGGUGAUCGGCCACAUUGGGACUGAGACACGGCCCAAACUCCUACGGGAGGCAGCAGUAGGGAAUCUUCGGCAAUGGACGAAAGUCUGACCGAGCAACGCCGCGUGAGUGAAGAAGGUUUUCGGAUCGUAAAACUCUGUUGGUAGAGAAGAACGUUGGUGAGAGUGGAAAGCUCAUCAAGUGACGGUAACUACCCAGAAAGGGACGGCUAACUACGUG